Molecule: ribosomal RNA, 770 nt
Filed under: Acinetobacter sp.
Lineage: Bacteria; Pseudomonadati; Pseudomonadota; Gammaproteobacteria; Moraxellales; Moraxellaceae
Description: bacterial SSU rRNA
Rfam family: Bacterial small subunit ribosomal RNA
Source: RNAcentral
AGUCGAGCGGAGAUGAGGUGCUUGCACCUUAUCUUAGCGGCGGACGGGUGAGUAAUGCUUAGGAAUCUGCCUAUUAGUGGGGGACAACAUUCCGAAAGGAAUGCUAAUACCGCAUACGCCCUACGGGGGAAAGCAGGGGAUCUUCGGACCUUGCGCUAAUAGAUGAGCCUAAGUCGGAUUAGCUAGUUGGUGGGGUAAAGGCCUACCAAGGCGACGAUCUGUAGCGGGUCUGAGAGGAUGAUCCGCCACACUGGGACUGAGACACGGCCCAGACUCCUACGGGAGGCAGCAGUGGGGAAUAUUGGACAAUGGGCGGAAGCCUGAUCCAGCCAUGCCGCGUGUGUGAAGAAGGCCUUUUGGUUGUAAAGCACUUUAAGCGAGGAGGAGGCUACUUAGAUUAAUACUCUAGGAUAGUGGACGUUACUCGCAGAAUAAGCACCGGCUAACUCUGUGCCAGCAGCCGCGGUAAUACAGAGGGUGCGAGCGUUAAUCGGAUUUACUGGGCGUAAAGCGUGCGUAGGCGGCUGAUUAAGUCGGAUGUGAAAUCCCUGAGCUUAACUUAGGAAUUGCAUUCGAUACUGGUCAGCUAGAGUAUGGGAGAGGAUGGUAGAAUUCCAGGUGUAGCGGUGAAAUGCGUAGAGAUCUGGAGGAAUACCGAUGGCGAAGGCAGCCAUCUGGCCUAAUACUGACGCUGAGGUACGAAAGCAUGGGGAGCAAACAGGAUUAGAUACCCUGGUAGUCCAUGCCGUAACGAUGUCUACUAGCCGUUG